AGAAACAAAAGAAACAGAAACACAAAAGCAAACACAAGUCUGCAAAAGCUGAAGUUGUCAGUAACGCUGAUACUACAGAUACUUCUGACAGUGACAGUGAAAUAGAAGAGAAUACAGCUUUGUCGAACCAAGAAAUAUUAAAAAGAUUAAAAAAUCUGUCUCCACAAAGGAGGUAACUGUCAAAUGGAAAAUCACUGUAACAGCUGAAUAGUUACUAUCCUCCAUGAGGGUAGUUCGGUUAAUAAAAUAAUUUAAUUUAUAUAUUGCAUUUAUUGAAUUAUUUUCUAAUGAAUGUGUACAGUCUUUAUAUGUAGUAAACAUAAAAUGUAUAUUAUUAUUAAAUCUUAAGCUGUAAAUGCCUGAAAUGUACAUAACUUAUCAGAAUGAAAUGUUGAUGUUUGCUUUUAAUAAAAUGAAUUUCAUGUUGUCA
Molecule: long non-coding RNA, 430 nt
Organism: Protopterus annectens (West African lungfish)
Lineage: Eukaryota; Metazoa; Chordata; Ceratodontiformes; Protopteridae
Exons: 2
Source: RefSeq, a predicted model, not a curated record